UUACGGUCAAAUCACGUUGAAAACACCGGUUCUCGUUCGAUCACCGAAGUUAAGGUUCAUCGUAGAGCCAGGUCAAACGGUACUUACGAUAGGGAACGGCUUGGGAACGCCUUUGUACUGUAAG
This is a non-coding RNA of Acanthosepion pharaonis, 124 nucleotides long. The record is from the annotation of a GenBank genome assembly. NCBI's taxonomy places the organism in Eukaryota, Metazoa, Mollusca, Cephalopoda, Sepiida, Sepiidae.